Molecule: long non-coding RNA, 433 nt
Filed under: Canis lupus familiaris (dog)
Lineage: Eukaryota; Metazoa; Chordata; Mammalia; Carnivora; Canidae
Description: lncRNA (ENSCAFG00000037644.3)
Source: RNAcentral
CUCCUCUCCUGGCCAAUCCUAUAAAAGGAUGGGCUUGGCUCAUAAACCAAUCAGAGACCCCCAAGGGGGCGGAGUUUUCUUUGGCCUGGAUCUCUGCCUGAGGGGUAAAACUAAAACGUUUCCACCUCCAGCCAAUCCCAGAGAAGGCAGGAGCGCACUCCUCCAAUGGGAGCCCGAGAGCGGUCAGUGGCCGUGGAGGCCUGCUACCCCCGCUAGCUCUCCAGCCCGCCGGAGGGACGCUAGAUCCAGCCGCCGGCCCCUUGAAUCUGCUCCCCCUCGGCAGCGGUGGCGCGGAGGGCAGGAGGUGUCUGGUGAGACGGUCAGCGGGUAUCGGAGGAUCGUGCGGGUAGCAAAGGGAUGGCGAGUGCCCCUGCAGCCCCAGACAACAACCAGGUGUCCUUUUUCUCUGGAUGCUUUGAAGAUCCUUCUUUGA